UAAGGAAUAUUGGGCAAUGGGAGCAAUCCUGACCCAGCCAUCCCGCGUGUGGGACGAAGGCGCUCAGCGUCGUAAACCACUUUUGCGUAGGAAGAAUGGCGUGCACUUGUGUGCGUUUAACGGUACUACGAGAAUAAGCACCGGCUAACUCCGUGCCAGCAGCCGCGGUAAUACGGGGGGUGCGAGCGUUAUCCGGAAUUACUGGGUUUAAAGGGUGCGUAGGCGGCUGCGUAAGUCUGUGGUGAAAGGCCAGGGCUCAACCUUGGGACUGCCGUGGAUACUGCGUGGCUUGAGUUAGGAUGAGGUUGGCGGAAUGCGGCAUGUAGCGGUGAAAUGCAUAGAUAUGCCGUAGAACACCGAUUGCGAAGGCAGCUGACUGGACCUAAACUGACGCUGAGGCACGAAAGCGUGGGGAGCGAACGGGAUUAGAUACCCGGGUAGUCC
Molecule: ribosomal RNA, 444 nt
Filed under: uncultured prokaryote
Description: bacterial SSU rRNA
Rfam family: Bacterial small subunit ribosomal RNA
Source: RNAcentral